RNAcentral lists this ribosomal RNA (465 nucleotides) under Vreelandella stevensii. RNAcentral's name for it is "partial 16S ribosomal RNA". It matches the Rfam family "Bacterial small subunit ribosomal RNA", at positions 338 to 795 of the family's 1533-position model. The record is from RNAcentral. Lineage: Bacteria; Pseudomonadati; Pseudomonadota; Gammaproteobacteria; Oceanospirillales; Halomonadaceae.
CCUACGGGGGGCUGCAGUGGGGAAUAUUGGACAAUGGGGGCAACCCUGAUCCAGCCAUGCCGCGUGUGUGAAGAAGGCCCUCGGGUUGUAAAGCACUUUCAGUGAGGAAGAACGCCUGGUGGUUAAUACCCAUCAGGAAAGACAUCACUCACAGAAGAAGCACCGGCUAACUCCGUGCCAGCAGCCGCGGUAAUACGGAGGGUGCGAGCGUUAAUCGGAAUUACUGGGCGUAAAGCGCGCGUAGGUGGCUUGAUAAGCCGGUUGUGAAAGCUCCGGGCUCAACCUGGGAACGGCAUCCGGAACUGUCAAGCUAGAGUGCAGGAGAGGAAGGUAGAAUUCCCGGUGUAGCGGUGAAAUGCGUAGAGAUCGGGAGGAAUACCAGUGGCGAAGGCGGCCUUCUGGACUGACACUGACACUGAGGUGCGAAAGCGUGGGUAGCAAACAGGAUUAGAUACCCUGGUAGUC